This 643-nucleotide unclassified non-coding RNA is filed under the name Hevea brasiliensis (rubber tree). The record is from RNAcentral. Lineage: Eukaryota; Viridiplantae; Streptophyta; Magnoliopsida; Malpighiales; Euphorbiaceae.
AUACAAUCUGGGGAAUUCAAGAUAAUGAAGGACGAUGGAGGAAUUCCUUUCAAGAAAUUGCAAAGGUAGCAGUCGACUACUUCCACUCUGUCUACUCUUCCACGAAACCGGACAACUUUGGAAAUGUCACAGAUGGUUUUCUGCCAAGAGUAUCUCAAGAAAUGAAUUCUCAACUGAUAGCACCUAUUUCUAAUAAAGAGAUCAGGAAAGCUACUUUCUUAAUGCACCCCACUAAAGCUCCAGGAGAAGAUGGUCUUAUCGGCUUAUUUUUUUAAAAGUACUGGACAAUCAUUGGGGAUGACAUCUGUAAGGCAAUAUCAGAAUUCUUUGAGCAUGGCAGAUUGCUAAGAAGUAUCAAUCACACUCUCCUCACGCUCAUUCCGAAAUCCAAGCAAGUACAAACAAUGAAAGAUCUUAGUCCAAUUGGGCUGUGCAAUGUCAUUUACAAGAUCAUCUCGAAGAUCCUCACUAGACGCCUGCAGCCUUUUUAUGGAUUCCUUGAUUGGGAUGAGGCAAAGUGCCUUCAUAAAAGGAAGAUUAAUUUCAGAUAACAUCUUGGUAUACCAUGAAAUCAUGCACCACCUUAACAAUCGCAGAUCAGGAAGGAAUUAUGGCAUGGCCUUGAAGCUUGAUAUAAGCAAAG